Molecule: ribosomal RNA, 301 nt
Filed under: uncultured bacterium
Lineage: Bacteria
Description: partial 16S ribosomal RNA
Rfam family: Bacterial small subunit ribosomal RNA
Source: RNAcentral
CAGUCGCCACGGUAAGACGGAGGGUGCUAGCGUUGUUCGGAAUCACUGGGCGUAAAGGGCGCGUAGGCGGCCUGUUAAGUCGGAUGUGAAAGCCCGGGGCUCAACCCCGGAACUGCAUCCGAGACUGGCAGGCUUGAGACCGGGAGAGGAGGGUGGAAUAUCCAGUGUAGAGGUGAAAUUCGUAGAUAUUGGAUGGAACACCGGUGGCGAAAGCGGCUCUCUGGCCCGGAUCUGACGCUGAGGCGCGAAAGCGUGGGGAGCAAACAGGAUUAGAGACCCGAGUAGUCCCUGUCUCUUAUAC